Molecule: ribosomal RNA, 483 nt
Filed under: Marinobacter sp. GY-5
Lineage: Bacteria; Pseudomonadati; Pseudomonadota; Gammaproteobacteria; Pseudomonadales; Marinobacteraceae
Also listed under: 1 other name
Description: bacterial SSU rRNA
Rfam family: Bacterial small subunit ribosomal RNA
Source: RNAcentral
GCCUACCAAGGCGACGAUCCGUAGCUGGUCUGAGAGGAUGAUCAGCCACAUCGGGACUGAGACACGGCCCGAACUCCUACGGGAGGCAGCAGUGGGGAAUAUUGGACAAUGGGGGCAACCCUGAUCCAGCCAUGCCGCGUGUGUGAAGAAGGCUUUCGGGUUGUAAAGCACUUUCAGUGAGGAGGAAGGCUCAAAGGUUAAUACCCUUUGGGAUUGACGUUACUCACAGAAGAAGCACCGGCUAACUCCGUGCCAGCAGCCGCGGUAAUACGGAGGGUGCAAGCGUUAAUCGGAAUUACUGGGCGUAAAGCGCGCGUAGGUGGUUUGAUAAGCGAGAUGUGAAAGCCCCGGGCUUAACCUGGGAACGGCAUUUCGAACUGUCAGGCUAGAGUGUGGUAGAGGGUAGUGGAAUUUCCUGUGUAGCGGUGAAAUGCGUAGAUAUAGGAAGGAACACCAGUGGCGAAGGCGGCUACCUGGACCAAC